GACGAACGCUGGCGGCAUGCCUAAUACAUGCAAGUCGAGCGAACAGAUGAAGUGCUUGCACUUCUGACGUUAGCGGCGAACGGGUGAGUAACACGUAAGGAAUCUACCUAUAAGCGGGGGAUAACAUUCGAAAAAGGGUGCUAAUACCGCAGAAUAUCUUCUUGCGCAAUGAAGAAGAUUGAAAGACGGCUCUGCUGUCACUUAGAGAGUACCGUGCGGUGCAUUAGUUAGUUGGUGGGGGAACGGCCUACCAAGACGAUGAUGCAUAGCCGACCUGGGAGGGUGAUCGGCCACAUUGGGACUGAGACACGGCCCAAACUACUACGGGAGGCAGCAGUAGGGCAUCUUCCGCAAUGGGCGAAAGCCUGACGGAGCAAUGCCGCGUGAGUGAAGAAGGCCUUCGGGUCGUAAAACUAUGUUAUAAGAGAAGAACAAAUUGUAGAGUAACUGCUACAGUCUUGACGGUAUCUUAUCAGAAAGCCACGGCUAACUACGUGCCAGCCGCCGCCGUAA
Molecule: ribosomal RNA, 513 nt
Filed under: uncultured bacterium
Lineage: Bacteria
Description: partial 16S ribosomal RNA
Rfam family: Bacterial small subunit ribosomal RNA
Source: RNAcentral